RNAcentral lists this ribosomal RNA (497 nucleotides) under uncultured bacterium. RNAcentral's name for it is "partial 16S ribosomal RNA". It matches the Rfam family "Bacterial small subunit ribosomal RNA", at positions 28 to 507 of the family's 1533-position model. The record is from RNAcentral.
GAUGAACGCUGGCGGCGUGCCUAAUACAUGCAAGUCGAGCGAACAGACGAGGAGCUUGCUCCUCUGACGUUAGCGGCGGACGGGUGAGUAACACGUCGAUAACCUACCUAUAAGACUGGGAUAACUUCGGGAAACCGGAGCUAAUACCGGAUAAUAUAUUGAACCGCAUGGUUCAAUAGUGAAAGACGGUUUUGCUGUCACUUAUAGAUGGAUCCGCGCCGCAUUAGCUAGUUGGUAAGGUAACGGCUUACCAAGGCAACGAUGCGUAGCCGACCUGAGAGGGUGAUCGGCCACACUGGAACUGAGACACGGUCCAGACUCCUACGGGAGGCAGCAGUAGGGAAUCUUCCGCAAUGGGCGAAAGCCUGACGGAGCAACGCCGCGUGAGUGAUGAAGGUCUUCGGAUCGUAAAACUCUGAUAUUAGGGAAGAACAAAUGUGUAAGUAACUAUGCACGUCUUGACGGUACCUAAUCAGAAAGCCACGGCUAACUACGUG